GAUGAAGAACGCAGCGAAAUGCGAUAAGUAAUGUGAAUUGCAGAAUUCAGUGAAUCAUCGAAUCUUUGAACGCACAUUGCGCCCGUCAGUAUUCUGGCGGGCAUGCCUGUUCGAGCGUCAUUACGCCCCUCAAGUCCCCUGUGGACUUGGUGUUGGGGAUCGGCGAGGCUGGUUUUCCAGCACAGCUGUCCCUUAAAUUAAUUGGCGGUCUCGCCGUGGCCCUCCUCUGCGCAGUAGUAAAACACUCGCAACAGGAGCCCGGCGCGGUCCACUGCCGUAAAACCCCCCAACUUUUUAUAGUUGACCUCGAAUCAGGUAGGACUACCCGCUGAACUUAAGCAUAUCAAUAAGCGGAGGA
This 358-nucleotide unclassified non-coding RNA is filed under the name soil metagenome. Its description in RNAcentral is "partial contains 5.8S ribosomal RNA, internal transcribed spacer 2, and large subunit ribosomal RNA". The stretch from base 1 to 120 matches the Rfam family "5.8S ribosomal RNA", at positions 35 to 154 of the family's 154-position model. The record is from RNAcentral.